Lepisosteus oculatus (spotted gar) is the source of this 119-nucleotide ribosomal RNA. Lineage: Eukaryota; Metazoa; Chordata; Actinopteri; Semionotiformes; Lepisosteidae. The record is from Ensembl.
AUAAGCAGCCAUAUCACCCUGCAACUCACAACUGGCAACCCACUGAAGCUAAGUAGGUGUGAGCCUAGUCAGUACCUGGAUGGGAGACCUCCUGGGAAAAACUAAGGUUGCUGCUGGAA